RNAcentral lists this unclassified non-coding RNA (296 nucleotides) under Hevea brasiliensis (rubber tree). Lineage: Eukaryota; Viridiplantae; Streptophyta; Magnoliopsida; Malpighiales; Euphorbiaceae. The record is from RNAcentral.
AUCAUGAAUUCUCUGAUGGUUAUCACCUUCCUUGCUGGUAUUGUCCUUGUCAUUUUCUUGAGGACUGUGAGGAGAGAUCUGACCCGUUAUGAGGAACUUGACAAGGAGGCUCAAGCACAGAUGAACGAGGAGUUAUCUGGGUGGAAACUUGUUGUGGGUGAUGUUUUCCGUGCCCCAACCAAUGCCUCACUUCUAUGUGUUAUGGUUGGAGAUGGAGUUCAGAUCCUUGGGAUGGCGGUUGUGACAAUCUUGUUUGCUGCUCUUGGAUUCAUGUCACCAGCUUCCCGUGGAACUCU